This is a long non-coding RNA of Solea senegalensis (Senegalese sole), 3548 nucleotides long. RefSeq lists it as uncharacterized. The transcript is spliced from 5 exons. Lineage: Eukaryota; Metazoa; Chordata; Actinopteri; Pleuronectiformes; Soleidae. The record is from RefSeq and is a predicted model, not a curated record.
UUUUUUAGCAGCGCACCCCGUUGACGCUCCUGUGGACGCAUGCAGCCUCGCGCCAUUCUAUUUUUACAGACCUAUAAUUCAGCAGCUCUGACAUUUGGCACGGGCGCGUAUUACCGCCGCGCGCUCUCUUUGACGCGCACGGAAGGAAGGAAGGAAGGAAGGAAGGAAGGAGGGAAACAAGGAAGGAAGGAAGGAAGGAGGCGUCGCAACACGAAACAACAACGUGACCCGCAGGAGCCGUGGGGAAGGAAGCAUCUGCUUCUGCUGAGGCUGCGGCAACAUCAGCAUCACACACACACACAGAGAGACACGCGCGCGUCACUGCCGCUGCAUGCGCGCUGUUUGUUCCUUGAUUCCAGCUCUCGUUUCGUUUUUACGCAUCUGCCUCUUUAUAAUCAACCCACCAACGCUUGGAAACUACUAUAUUUACAGUCUCCUCCAUGUGAGCUGGUCACACAGGUGCCUGGAGACCACUGCCGAGGUCCGUCUCCAUCCUCCUGCCGGUGUCUGUGAACCUCACCAGGAGGAGAGUGUAUAUAGGUGCCUUCUAUACGGCACACUACUAAAAUCUGCUGCAUCUGUCUCCUCUGUGCCUUCCUCCACCCCUUACUGCGCCCUCCCACCGUGCAGCCACCACCACCACUAUUCCUUCCAUCACCAUCUCUAUACUGAAGGCUGCCAAUAUUGACGCUUCAUGCAACCAAGGAGAGAGACGCGUCAUUCAAACAGAACAAUAGACACCGGCUCUUAAUGGUCAGAUGUUUGGGCUUCUGGACACGUCGUCCACUGUGCCCUCUGAGUGUGUGUGCGUCUGUGUGUGUGUGUAGAGGGAGAGAGAGAGAGAGAGAGAGAGAGAGAGCAGGGGAGCAGCGACGCAGCAGCUCCGCGCACACUGUCAUCAUCUCCUUCUUCUGCUGCUGCUGCUGCUGAGGAGGAGGAGGAGGAGAAGCCCCGGGAUGAAGGAGCGGAUGCCGGCAGCAUGUGUCGCCUCCUCGGCCUUGACUUGUUGUCCCUCUGCGGCCAAAGAAGCAAACACAACUAAAAGCCUGUGACACACUUCAGCGGUGCUGGAUCAGAUUUACUCCCAGUCAGACUGUGAAGUGAAGUCUCUCUCUCUCUGUAUGUCUCCGUGGACUUUGGGCUCUGUGUGGUUGCACGUGAGAGAUUUAGAAAAAAAAAGUUGCGUAAAAUUACUUCGUGGACUUAAACCGGAGAUGUGGAAUUUACUCCAAGUGUUUGGCCUGAGUUGUGUGCAGUGCAGGCAAGAAGAGCAGUCGCACACAAAACACAUGCACACAUCCCAAGUGAAGGCGACCUUUGUGUGAAACCUGCAGGGCAACAGGUCCUCCUCAACCAAACACACCCACUGUGCUGUGAACAGACUUCAUUGCUUCAAAGCUACAGCAGGAAGAAGAGGAGGACGAGGAGGAGGAGGCAGUGGAGGAGGUAAAAGAGAAGCAGAGUGGGUGGAAGGAUGGAAGGAGAGAAGGAUAGAAACAGUUCGAGGAGGUGGUUCGAAGCGGGUGAACCCAGAGCAGGUGAACACAGCUGUGGAUCGCCAUGGGCUCUCUGGCUGCCUUCCUCCUGUGGCCCCAGCACUGCAUUCAGGGGUCCCGGGGAGAUGGCAAGGGCCAGCCAAGGCUGCCGCAGAGUGGGCAUGCUAGGCCAUCCAAGCCAGGAGAGAAGCAGGUGGAGCGGGUGAACCAAGCUCUCAUCCCCGCCGGCUAGGAGCCUCCACGGCAGAGUGGAGCAGCGCGGAGCAGCAGAAAUCAAUACAGAGGAGAGAGGCGAGCAGAGGUUGCCCAGCACCGCCUGCAGGCCUCAGAGCCCAGGGACCAACCACCACCACUGCUCCCAGCUCCUCUCUCCAUCUCUCUUUCUAUCUUCCUCCAACAAUCUCAGCAUCAGCCAGGGCCGGGGCCCUAACCUUACAACCACCCCACACGCAGUGUGUGUGUGUGUGUGUGUGUGUGUGUGUUUGUGUGUCAGCGUGUGCCCGUGUGUGUGUGGAACACAGAGAGAAAAGGGAAGAGACAGAGAAAGAGAGUCUCUGUGUGUGGUUCAGCCGGAGGGUUUCUGCUGUGUCCAAAAACCACUUGAUAAAACUUUGUCAAGGAGACAUGGAGACAGCGAGGGAGGGAGAGGAAUGGAAGAAGAAUAAGCACAUCGACAGCACGUCAAAGGUCUCUUUUCUCCCAGCUCCCUCCCUCUUAUUACUCAUUCCACCUUAACCAUUAGAAUAAGGAUCCACCCGAGACAGUAACACAGGACAUUUCUGCGAUGUCCCACUUUCAAGCACGUAGUACUCAACAUUCAUAACAUCUCGUGAGCCGGGAUGAAAGGACAGUUUGAACUUUUUCCUCUUUCCUCUGUAUCAGACCCAGCCUGUCUAUUCACCUUAGAUUUUCUUACCUUCGCUACAGCAGCUCCCAUCAGAGGAUAUGGCAGUGCAGUAUUGAUCUUUAAGGUGGAAGAGAGGGAGGCGGGCCCAGGCUUUCAUACCCCUCUCUUGCUCUGUGUGUGCGUGCGUGCGUGAGUGUGUGUGUGUGUGUGUGUGGAAACAGCACCUGAAGUCCACUUACUGCUGUGCAGCAGGGAUCCCACGGCAGCUCAAGUGAAUGGCUGCUAAUUGAAUAAGAGAUAAAAAAGGACAGUAGUUGCACAGUGCUCUCCCCGUCCUCCCCUUCACUUUUUCAUCAGACUUUUUUUUUUUUCCUUCUUCCUCACAUCUACAACGUUUUUUUUUUCCCCCCUCUUCUGAUGUUGUAACAAAAACUGCUGGUGACUUACGUAAAUUGGCCAAAUCCACAGCAAUGAAAACACCGGGCUUAACAUCAGCUUAGACUUGAGAGCUUUCAAAAGAAAAAAAAAACUUUUUUUUUUUUAUCGCAGUGGUAGGAAAAUCCAGCUGAAACUUAAGAACUGAGAAAUGCCAGAAGCCGUGUGUAUGUGGACCUGGAAGGACAUUACAGGACAGACGGACACUUUCCAUAACACGAAGAAAGGACCCAAAGCUCUCGCUGCAGCCAAAUGGGGCCUCCAUCGCUGGGCCCGACUCUUACGAAGAACAAAGAACCGACGGCUAAUCUGCACACACUUGGCCACAUAUGCAAGAGACAGCAUCAGUGUGUGUGUGUGUGUGUGUGUGUGUGUGUGUGUGUGUAAUUCAGCUGUGCUGUCUGCGGUCUGUGCGGAGGAUGUGGACAGGUAAGUCGGAGACGCUUUUAAAAGGUAUGUUUGGAGGUUGAAUCAAUUUAUUAGCCGUCUGAAGUGCACAACAGACCUGAGCCAAGCAAUAUUUUUUCCAAAACUUAGGUUCAUUAACGAGACCCUGAGGGGUACUUCUUUUUUUUUAACUCAUUAAUUGUACAGUCAAGUAUUUGACUGUAAAAUUGUUUGACAAGUUUGUUGUUUGCAGGACUGUGUGCACAUAUUAUAUGUUUAUAUAUCCUGCAAUGAAGUUACUUAUUAAUCAGUGAAAUUUCAAAUGUAUUGCCUUGAUAUGAUUUACUUUUUCAAUAAAACUGAACAAUUUGUGAAAUGAAAAA